AAAGAUAGCCUUAUGAAAAAGUUUUUCUGUGAGGCGGAAGUAUAUUUUUGGCCUGAGAGAAAAGUUCCAAGUAAUAAAUCUUCAACACAAAGAGAACUGAAUAUUCAUUCUAGGGCUAAGAUACGAACUUCACAUUUAAUUUGGGUACCUAUUUUCAUUGAUUUUCCUUGAAAACAAUCUGUUCCUGGUGCCCAGUGAUAAUUCAGCUGGGACUAAAAGGAAGGGGAGAGCACAGCGAAAUACUAAAGUUCAGAAAAGUGACCCUAAAGGACAGUUUGGUCCCAGGAUGGAAAAAAAGAAGACUUGGUUUGAUCACGUUACAUGGAGCAGUCUACCUGUUCUUUGAUUUGGGGAGAGGAGUGGGGCAGCCUGAGAAGAGCAUGUCUGGAUUGGGAAGAACCGUCUGUCCAGAUUAGGGGCGGGGAACAGAAAGAAGGGAGCAUGGACACGAGAACCAGAUGAAAUUUGACUGAAGCAAAGAAAAACUCCCGAAUGUGCUAAGCCUUGAUAGUGACAGUCUUCCCCAAGCUACUGCUGCUACCAGCAAGUGAUCAGGAGGACUAGGAGCUAUUUCUGACUGUAAAUGAAUUGUAUAAUGGCUCUGCUGCAGUUCUGUGACUUCCAAGCCAGGAAUUAAACACUUAUUAAGGGAAAAACAAACAAACAUUUCCUAUGCUCGUCUCCCAGCAAAAUGUACAUGUUUUGGAGACUUCAAAGGUAUUAUCUGAGUUCACAUUUAGCCACAGCUUAUUAAUAACCCUCAAGCUGUCAGAAUCUCUAUAGUAACCAUUUACAAUUUUAUACUGUGAAAAAAAUACAGAUCAGUGAAAACCAUAACGAUAAAUUAGAAUUCACUUUAAAGAGGGUCUGAGGCCUGGGAGAUUCUCUACUAUCUGUUGAAGAAAGUGGCAUGUAUAAAAUAGUUGGCUGAAUUUCACUGAUCUUCCCAAUGUGAACAAAUAUACUAUGUAUAUUGUGUGUAUUUCUAGAUUUCAAUGGCAGCUGCUGGUGGUGUUGUAAUUAGAAAUCUAUAUAGAAUAUAGAUGUUUUAGGGAGAUGGUGCCAAUCCUAAAAGAUUUGUGUGGACUACAAGUGCUUGUACUUACUUUUUUCUGCACUUAUAACUGAUUUGGUUUUAAAAUUGUGUGCGUGUAUCUGUUCUUUUUCUGUUGUUGCAGCUUGUACUAUUAAAACAAUAGAGAAUGUUAAAUUA
This is a long non-coding RNA of Miniopterus natalensis, 1213 nucleotides long. RefSeq lists it as uncharacterized. Lineage: Eukaryota; Metazoa; Chordata; Mammalia; Chiroptera; Miniopteridae. The record is from RefSeq and is a predicted model, not a curated record.